This is a small nuclear RNA of Acomys russatus (golden spiny mouse), 199 nucleotides long. RefSeq annotates it as U2 spliceosomal RNA. NCBI's taxonomy places the organism in Eukaryota, Metazoa, Chordata, Mammalia, Rodentia, Muridae. The record is from RefSeq and is a predicted model, not a curated record. The transcript has a single exon.
AACACUUCUCGGCCUUUUGGCUAAGAUUAAGUGUAGUGUCUGUUCUUAUCAGCUUAAUAUUUGAUACAUCCUCUAUCUGAGGACAAUGUAGGAAGUGGUUUUUUGGAAGUAGGAGUUGGAACCUAUUCCAACUUGCCAGCUCCGCCCACUCCAUGCAUCAACCUGCUAUUGCAGUACCACCAAAAAUGGUGCACUCCCU